GUGGGGAAUAUUGGACAAUGGGGGGAACCCUGAUCCAGCCAUGCCGCGUGUGUGAAGAAGGCCUUUUGGUUGUAAAGCACUUUAAGCGAGGAGGAGGCUACCGAGAUUAAUACUCUUGGAUAGUGGACGUUACUCGCAGAAUAAGCACCGGCUAACUCUGUGCCAGCAGCCGCGGUAAUACAGAGGGUGCAAGCGUUAAUCGGAUUUACUUGGCGUAAAGCGCGCGUAGGUGGCCAAUUAAGUCAAAUGUGAAAUCCCCGAGCUUAACUUGGGAAUUGCAUUCGAUACUGGUUGGCUAGAGUAUGGGAGAGGAUGGUAGAAUUCCAGGUGUAGCGGUGAAAUGCGUAGAGAUCUGGAGGAAUACCGAUGGCGAAGGCAGCCAUCUGGCCUAAUACUGACACUGAGGUGCGAAAGCGUGGGGAGCAAACAGGAUUAGAUACCCCAGUAGUCC
RNAcentral lists this ribosomal RNA (451 nucleotides) under uncultured bacterium. Its description in RNAcentral is "partial 16S ribosomal RNA". It matches the Rfam family "Bacterial small subunit ribosomal RNA", at positions 354 to 796 of the family's 1533-position model. The record is from RNAcentral.